UGGGGAAUCUUGCGCAAUGGGCGAAAGCCUGACGCAGCCAUGCCGCGUGAAUGAUGAAGGUCUUAGGAUUGUAAAAUUCUUUCACCGGGGAAGAUAAUGACGGUACCCGGAGAAGAAGCCCCGGCUAACUUCGUGCUAGCAGCCGCGGUAAUACGAAGGGGGCUAGCGUUGCUCGGAUUUACUGGGCGUAAAGGGCGCGUAGGCGGACAGUUUAGUCAGAGGUGAAAGCCCGGGGGGCUCAACCUCGGAAUUGCCUUUGAUACUGGCUGUCUUGAGUACGGGAGAGGUGUGUGGAACUCCGAGUGUAGAGGUGAAAUUCGUAGAUAUUCGGAAGAACACCAGUGGCGAAGGCGACACACUGGCCCGUUACUGACGCUGAGGCGCGAAAGCGUGGGGAGCAAACAGGAUUAGAUACCCUGGUAGUCCACGCCGUAAACGAUGAUUGCUAGUUGUCGGCACGCAUGCGUGUCGGUGACGCAGCUAACGCAUUAAGCAAUCCGCCUGGGGAGUACGGUCGC
Molecule: ribosomal RNA, 518 nt
Filed under: uncultured bacterium
Lineage: Bacteria
Description: bacterial SSU rRNA
Rfam family: Bacterial small subunit ribosomal RNA
Source: RNAcentral